RNAcentral lists this ribosomal RNA (65 nucleotides) under Globularia cordifolia. RNAcentral describes it as "partial 28S ribosomal RNA". Lineage: Eukaryota; Viridiplantae; Streptophyta; Magnoliopsida; Lamiales; Plantaginaceae. The record is from RNAcentral.
CUUCGACCGCGACCCCAUGUCAGGCGGGACUACCCGCUGAGUUUAAGCAUAUCAUAAGCCGGGAA